CGUUUCUUGAUUAUAUAAGAAAUUUAACCUGCCCACUGAAGAAUUUUGAAGGGCCGCAGUAUUUUGACUGUGCAAAGGUAGCAUAAUCAUUAGUCUUUUAAUUGAGGGCUUGUAUGAAUGGUUGGACGAGGCAAAUUCUGUUUUAUAAUAAUAUGUUGAAUUUUGAUUUUGAGUAAAAAGACUUAAAUGAUAUUAAGGGACGAGAAGACCCUAUAGAGUUUAAUAAUUAAUUUUUUUAAUUGAGUUUAUAAAUGAUUUUUGGUUAAAUAAAUUAUUUAUUUAAUUGGGGUGAUUAAAAGAUAAAGUAAACUCUUUUUUAGUUUAAAUAUAAAUUAAUAAUUUUAUGAUCCAUUAUGAAUGAUUAAAAGAUUAAAUUACCUUAGGGAUAACAGCAUAAUUUCUUUUAAGAGUUCUUAUCGAAAAGGAAGAUUGUGACCUCGAUGUUGGAUUAAGAUUUAAUUUGGGUGUAGAUGUUCAAAUAUUAGGUCUGUUCGACCUUUAAAAUCUUACA
RNAcentral lists this ribosomal RNA (511 nucleotides) under Coptopteryx sp. MN059. RNAcentral's name for it is "partial 16S ribosomal RNA". It matches the Rfam family "Bacterial large subunit ribosomal RNA", at positions 1831 to 2600 of the family's 2925-position model. The record is from RNAcentral. Lineage: Eukaryota; Metazoa; Arthropoda; Insecta; Mantodea; Mantidae.